GUUGAACGCGGUUAUCCCGCAAGGGAUAACUGAGUGGCGAACGGGUGAGUAACACGUGGGUGACCUACCUUCGAGUGGGGGAUAACGUCCCGAAAGGGACGCUAAUACCGCAUAACAUCCUGCUCUUGAACGAGCAGAGAUCAAAGCCGGGGAUCGCAAGACCUGGCGCUUGUUGAGGGGCCCGCGUCUGAUUAGCUAGUUGGUGAGGUAACGGCUCACCAAGGCGACGAUCAGUAUCCGGCCUGAGAGGGCGGACGGACACACUGGGACUGAGACACGGCCCAGACUCCUACGGGAGGCAGCAGUGGGGAAUUGUUCGCAAUGGGCGCAAGCCUGACGACGCAACGCCGCGUGGAGGAUGAAGGUCUUCGGAUCGUAAACUCCUGUUGCCCGGGACGAAUAGCUUCGACCUAAUACGUCGGAGUAUGACGGUACCGGGUGAGGAAGCCCCGGCUAACCCUGUGCCAGCAGCCGCGGUAAUACAGAGGGGGCAAGCGUUGUUCGGAAUUACUGGGCGUAAAGGGCGCGUAGGCGGCCUGUUAAGUCGAACGUGAAAUCCCUGGGCUCAACCCAGGAACUGCGUCCGAUACUGGCUGGCUUGAAUCCGGGAGAGGGAUGCGGAAUUCCAGGUGUAGCGGUGAAAUGCGUAGAUAUCUGGAGGAACACCGGUGGCGAAGGCGGCAUCCUGGACCGGUAUUGA
This 700-nucleotide ribosomal RNA is filed under the name uncultured bacterium. Its description in RNAcentral is "bacterial SSU rRNA". It matches the Rfam family "Bacterial small subunit ribosomal RNA", at positions 61 to 743 of the family's 1533-position model. The record is from RNAcentral.